AUAUUGAAAGCGCUUAAUCAAUUAUGAACGGGAGAACCACUUUUGGGGUGAAUCUUGUAUUAAAACAAGUAGGGUUAAUUUCUUCGAUCCGAAUCCGUCAGCUAAUCUCGUAAGCGUUGAAGAGAAGUUUU
Regulatory RNA element from Clostridium tyrobutyricum DIVETGP, 131 nucleotides. It matches the Rfam family "c-di-AMP riboswitch aptamer (ydaO/yuaA leader)". From Rfam's summary of the family: This family represents a conserved RNA structure found upstream of the ydaO and yuaA genes in Bacillus subtilis and related genes in other bacteria. NCBI's taxonomy places the organism in Bacteria, Bacillati, Bacillota, Clostridia, Eubacteriales, Clostridiaceae. The record is from Rfam.